This 544-nucleotide ribosomal RNA is filed under the name ectomycorrhiza of Kobresia mysoroides K49. RNAcentral describes it as "eukaryotic LSU rRNA". The stretch from base 193 to 346 matches the Rfam family "5.8S ribosomal RNA". Lineage: Eukaryota; Fungi; Basidiomycota; Agaricomycetes; Agaricales; Cortinariaceae. The record is from RNAcentral.
GGUGAACCUGCGGAAGGAUCAUUAUCGAAAUAAAUCUGAACAUGCUGUUGCUGGUCGGAAGACAUGUGCACGCUUGUCCUCUUUAUUUUUCCAACUGUGCACAUAUUGUAGACCUUUUUGAGGGAAUGAUGGCCAAGGUCUAUGUUACAUUUAACAACUUGUUGUAGAAUGGGGGAUAUGAAACAAAUAUACAACUUUCAGCAACGGAUCUCUUGGCUCUCGCAUCGAUGAAGAACGCAGCGAAAUGCGAUAAGUAAUGUGAAUUGCAGAAUUCAGUGAAUCAUCGAAUCUUUGAACGCAUCUUGCGCUCCUUGGUAUUCCGAGGAGCAUGCCUGUUUAAGUGUCAUCAAGUUCUCAACCAUACCUCGGUGUGGCUUGGAUCUGGGGGUUUUUGCAGGCUUCAAAGAAAGUCGACUCCCCUGAAAAGCAUUAGCAGUGUCAGAGUACCUUUGGUGUGAUAACUAUCUAUGCCUUGGUGUAUACGAUGCAUGCUGCUUCUGAACUUCAUUUUUAUUGACAAAUUUGACCUCAAAUCAGGUAGGAU